CCUACGGGAGGCUGCAGUGGGGAAUAUUGGGCAAUGGGCGCAAGCCUGACCCAGCAACGCCGCGUGAAGGAAGAAGGCUUUCGGGUUGUAAACCUCUGUUGUCAGGGAAGAGAAGAAGACGGAACAUGACGAAUAAGGCAGGGCUAACUACGGGCCAGCAGCCGCGGUAAUACGGAGGUGGCAAGCGUUGUCCGGAUUUACUGGGUGGAAAGGGCGGGUAGCCGGGUUGACAAGUCAGAUGUGAAAUCCUGCGGCUUAACCUAAGAACGGCAUUUGAAACUGUUGGUCUUGAGUACUGGAGAGGCAGAUGGAAUUCCUUGUGUAGCGGUGCAAUGCGUAGAUAUUCGGA
RNAcentral lists this ribosomal RNA (349 nucleotides) under uncultured bacterium. Its description in RNAcentral is "partial 16S ribosomal RNA". It matches the Rfam family "Bacterial small subunit ribosomal RNA", at positions 338 to 702 of the family's 1533-position model. The record is from RNAcentral.